UGAGGAUCCCAUGGAUCCAUAAACCUUGAAUGUAUGACUUGUCUAGCACUUUGAUGAGUCCAUUCGCAUAGUGAAAGAAGUGGCCCUUUUCAUAUUUUGAUAUUUUGUAUUUUGUUACCAUUUCUGGCCUCAGUUAUAUAUAUGUAAUUGGAACUCAUAUAUUUUGGUAAGUAAUUUGUAGUAAUUUACUCGCUGCAUACAAUUUUAUCAUGUACUCGUAAUCUAUUUCUAU
RNAcentral lists this long non-coding RNA (232 nucleotides) under Carica papaya (papaya). Its description in RNAcentral is "long non-coding RNA (CPAP_LNC008249)". The record is from RNAcentral. Lineage: Eukaryota; Viridiplantae; Streptophyta; Magnoliopsida; Brassicales; Caricaceae.